GGGUAGAGGCCCACCUAGCCGACGAUGGGUAGCCGGACUGAGAGGUCGACCGGCCACAUUGGGACUGAGAUACGGCCCAGACUCCUACGGGAGGCAGCAGUGGGGAAUUUUGCGCAAUGGGGGAAACCCUGACGCAGCAACGCCGCGUGCGGGACGAAGGCCCUCGGGCUGUAAACCGCUUUCAGCAGGGAAGACAUCGACGGUACCUGCAGAAGAAGCUCCGGCUAACUACGUGCCAGCAGCCGCGGUAAUACGUAGGGGGCGAGCGUUAUCCGGAUUCAUUGGGCGUAAAGCGCGCGUAGGCGGCCGCCUAAGCGGAACCUCUAACCCCGGGGCUCAACCUCGGGCCGGGUUCCGGACUGGGCGGCUCGAGUGCGGUAGAGGAGAGCGGAAUUCCCGGUGUAGCGGUGGAAUGCGCAGAUAUCGGGAAGAACACCGAUGGCGAAGGCAGCUCUCUGGGCCGUCACUGACGCUGAGGCGCGAAAGCUGGGGGAGCGAACAGGAUUAGAUACCCUGGUAGUCCCAGCCGUAAACGAUGGACGCUAGGUGU
Molecule: ribosomal RNA, 550 nt
Filed under: uncultured bacterium
Lineage: Bacteria
Description: bacterial SSU rRNA
Rfam family: Bacterial small subunit ribosomal RNA
Source: RNAcentral